UACAGAGGGUGCGAGCGUUAAUCGGAAUUACUGGGCGUAAAGCGUGCGUAGGCGGUCACGUAAGUCGGGUGUGAAAGCCCCGGGCUCAACCUGGGAAUUGCAUUCGAGACUGCGUGGCUAGGGUGCGGAAGAGGGAAGCGGAAUUUCCGGUGUAGCGGUGAAAUGCGUAGAUAUCGGAAGGAACACCAGUGGCGAAAGCGGCUUCCUGGUCCAGCACCGACGUUCAGGCACGAAAGCGUGGGGAGCAAACAGG
Molecule: ribosomal RNA, 253 nt
Filed under: uncultured bacterium
Lineage: Bacteria
Description: partial 16S ribosomal RNA
Rfam family: Bacterial small subunit ribosomal RNA
Source: RNAcentral